AGUAUUUUGACUAUACAAAGGUAUUGAAAUAAGACUUUAAUUGAGUGCUAAGAGAAUGGAAUUUCAUAAAAUUUCUUUUUUAAUUUUAAAAAUUGAAAUUAAUUUUAUAUGUGAAGAAACAAUAAUAAAAAUUAAGGACAAGAAGACCCUAAGAAUUUUAAAAAUUUCAAUAAAAUGCUGUAUUUUAUUGAAAUUUUUUAAUUGGGGCGAUUAUUAAAUAUUAAAAACUUUAAUUUUUUUAAAAAAGAACCAAUAAUAUUGGUUAUUUGAAAAAUACUCUAGGGAUAACAGCGUAAUAAUUUUUGAUAGUUCUUAUAGACAAAAUAGUUUGCGACCUCGAUGUUGGAUUAGGAUUCUUUUUUAAUGAAGAAGUUAAAAAAAGAAGUUUGUUCAACUUUUAAAAUCCU
RNAcentral lists this ribosomal RNA (407 nucleotides) under Amblyomma maculatum (Gulf Coast tick). Its description in RNAcentral is "partial small subunit ribosomal RNA". The record is from RNAcentral. Lineage: Eukaryota; Metazoa; Arthropoda; Arachnida; Ixodida; Ixodidae.